This 279-nucleotide ribosomal RNA is filed under the name Clostridioides difficile. RNAcentral describes it as "partial 23S ribosomal RNA". It matches the Rfam family "Bacterial large subunit ribosomal RNA", at positions 1706 to 1996 of the family's 2925-position model. Lineage: Bacteria; Bacillati; Bacillota; Clostridia; Peptostreptococcales; Peptostreptococcaceae. The record is from RNAcentral.
UAAGGAACUCGGCAAAAUGACCCCGUAACUUAGGGAUAAGGGGUGCCACCAUCAGGUGGCCGCAGAGAAUAGGCCCAAGCGACUGUUUACCAAAAACAUAGGUUUCUGCUAAGUCGCAAGACGAUGUAUAGGAGCUGACGCCUGCCCGGGGCUGGAAGGUUAAGGGGAUCUGUUAGAGCAAUCGAAGCAGUGAACUUAAGCCCCAGUAAACGGCGGCCGUAACUAUAACGGUCCUAAGGUAGCGAAAUUCCUUGUCGGGUAAGUUCCGACCCGCACGAA